UCUUAUCCAGAGAAGGCUGAGGGACAGGCCCUAUGACGCCCGGCAACCUAGCAAAGAGAGAGCUGCGCUCCCCCGCGCCAAGGUGCUAACUCCUACAGGUAUGAAAAUACCUGACAGAUGAGA
RNAcentral lists this non-coding RNA (123 nucleotides) under Brevibacillus massiliensis. RNAcentral describes it as "SAM riboswitch (S box leader)". It matches the Rfam family "SAM riboswitch aptamer (S box leader)". From Rfam's summary of the family: The SAM riboswitch is found upstream of a number of genes which code for proteins involved in methionine or cysteine biosynthesis in Gram-positive bacteria. The SAM riboswitch acts at the level of transcription termination control. The record is from RNAcentral. Lineage: Bacteria; Bacillati; Bacillota; Bacilli; Caryophanales; Paenibacillaceae.